UACGUAGGUGGCAAGCGUUGUCCGGAAUUAUUGGGCGUAAAGCGCGCGCAGGCGGUUCCUUAAGUCUGAUGUGAAAUCUCGCGGCUCAACCGCGAGCGGCCAUUGGAAACUGGGGAACUUGAGUGCAGGAGAGGGGAGCGGAAUUCCACGUGUAGCGGUGAAAUGCGUAGAGAUGUGGAGGAACACCAGUGGCGAAGGCGGCUCUCUGGCCUGUAACUGACGCUGAGGCGCGAAAGCGUGGGGAGCGAACAGG
RNAcentral lists this ribosomal RNA (253 nucleotides) under uncultured bacterium. RNAcentral describes it as "partial 16S ribosomal RNA". It matches the Rfam family "Bacterial small subunit ribosomal RNA", at positions 524 to 776 of the family's 1533-position model. The record is from RNAcentral.